GCACCCGCGUCCGGCCGUGCCUGGGCGGGCCGGGCCCCGGCGCCGUCCUUCUCCGCAAGGGUGCGGCCGCUGGUCGCCGCACUGCGCCGCGUUCCUGGGGCGGCUGAAGCUGGUGGCUCUGAGGGCGACGGGCCGGGGUCGAGGCGGUUCCUGUGGUGCUUCAGGCCUGGGGGUACCUCAGGGCCUCUGCCGCGCCUUCCCCGGGAGGCCGCGGCGGGCGCUUCGCAUUCCCCAUGGGCUGGCCGCGGAGAGGCUUUGAAGUGCAUCACUCCGCUGGAGCGGGCAUGGACACGCUGUUCCGAGCGCAGCCCUAGUCUUGUCAGGAAUUCAGUCUCCAUUGUUCGUAUCCGCAAUUGAACCCACCUUGAUGGGUGUACGUGGUCUAACGCACAGCGGGUUUGGUUCUGAGCACUGUUCUGAUGUACUGAGUCUGCCUCGGGAGGGACCCUUGAGAGGCUCUCGAGUCUCACCUGAGCAGGCAUCCUAGGGAAGGAUGUUCAGGGCAGAAGGGAACGCACUGCGCCGGUUCAGGGAAACAGUGUCCAAAUAUAUGCUUAAGGUCGUGUUCUGGUUAAAGCUUCUCCAGUUCCGGUGCUCGCUUGCAAAACAUUAGUUAAGGUUAUCAAUGGGCCGAGUGAUCCAGGCUUUUCAGGUGGGGUAAGGGUGGAGAAGGGUGGUUUGUUGGGUCCUUUUGAUGUAUGUCAUUUCUCCGGAGAGCUGAGUGACGUACAAUCUACUGUGAUUGUGACAUUUGUUGUCAAAUUCCCAGUGGCAGUCAUAGAUUUCACUUUCUUUGUCUUAAGUAUUGGUCGUCAAACUCGCCGUUUACCUUUGGGAAUGAAAACAGGAGAAAAUGCAUAAGAAUUCUGUAAACAGUACUGGUUUGGAAACAGUGUUAAAUUUUAGAUUAAGACGGUAUUUAGAGAGACAGUGCUUAAGCAAGUAAUUGCUUUUUGAUCUGAGUUAUUUUCAUCAGUUAAUUUUUUUUUUUCCUUUGUAAUUUGAACAGAUUUAGCAAAGAGUGUUUUGGUUGGAAUAUAUGGCAGUAUAUGAAGAGAUCAGCUGAUAACUUUUUGAUUUGAAAUAGUGGAGCUCUUCACCAUUCUUUCAUAUUAGGUGUGUGUUUGUACUUAAGUACUGGUGUGAUUUUCUAAAUGGAUUCUGCCAGUCAACAUACAGUAAAUGGUCUGUUUUGGUUAAUACUUCUUUGGAAAUCUUAUGCCAAGCUUUUUUCUUUAUUUUAUCCAUACACUACUCAAACUCCCAAAAAAAUAGUUGUUAUGCUGUGUGCAGGCAAUCCUUUGUUCCUUAUUACUUUUUAAUCUACAGUUUAUUUUUAUUGGUAGAGUUCAACUGUAUCAGUGUGUAUAUAUAUAUGAAUAUACAGACAAUAUUGUAUAUAUAGUAUAUGUAUUAGUUACUGUUGGUGGCUGAGGCCAGAGUGGUUUGAAGUGAAGUUACUUGGACUUGCUGAGUUUCCACUGUUACAAAGUACAGUUAUAUGAAUAGAACUGCUUAAAAAUGAAGUUUGAUCUUGGCUAGAUCUGCCAGCUAGACACAGUAAUAGAGGUGUGAGAGCUUAGUUAACAAGUCUCUAUCACCAGUCUGUUGACAGGAAAUUAGAAACAACUGUUAUUACUAGUAUUGAAAUAUAUCACCUCAUAAAACAUCUUUUAGAGAACUAUAAAAUUGCAACAGUUAGAAUGACAUAGUUAUGCUUAUCACAAUAUGGAAAGAUUAAAUAACAGGGUAUGUGGCUUUGUUAACUGCUUUUUCUAACAGCUGUGAUUUUGGAGAGUUUCACAAUUCAUAGUUGAAAAUUUUACAGUAAAUUGAAAAAGACUGGAAAUUAAUUUUGCACUUUUGCACUGCAUGUUGCGCUUUUGGUAAUCAGUUCUCUGUAUCUCUUCAUUUUUGCAUACAUCCUAUUCUGAAAAUUUUCCUUAAGAGUUAGGGAAGUUGAGAUUAAUGAAAGUUAAUUAUUUAUUUAAAUUAUCUUUUAGGUGGCUUGAGAACCAAUUAGUGAUUCUGUAUAUAAUCUACAGGUAUAUAUCACAGAUUGAGUGAAAUAACUGGAAUUUUUCUGUUCUUGUUGUUUUACAAAAAUACACCGGGAACUCAAGAAAUCGGGUCUUAAAAGUCUGAACAAAGCUGGAUCCAGAGCAUCUUCUCACAAACAAUCAAGUAAUGUGAUGAAUAAAACACAAAGAUGGUGAUCUGGUGACGGGCAAAAGAACGAGAUAGUGGAAAGCCAGGAGACCAUGCUUCCAAGAAAAUUGUUUGGGUUCUCUGGAAAAAAGCUAUUACAGGUUCAGAGAGGAAAGAAACAUCACUUUUAUAGCUACUCCAGCCUCUUCCAGGAACCUGUCCAGGCAAUGUCAGCUUAAUGAUCAAAACCUUAACAUAGAGGUCAAAAGUACUAAAUCUGGAUGUCCAAUUUAGUAUCUAUCACAGAGAGUAUGAUUUCUAAGGACUUGUAACACAGGAAGGGACUUAUAUUCAGUAUACAUUCCCAUUUAUUUCAGUGAGUACUUGGCUAUACUCGUCAGAUCCAAGGUGUCAAGGUGGGUGCUCAGGAAAUAAGGAACGAGCAAUUACACAGUAGUUAGGAGCAAGCAUUCACUGCCAAAAUCAUGGUGCCCUUGUGCAUUUAUAUUAAUUACCUCAUUUGUUACAAACACAACUGUUUAAUCUGUAUCAUCCUCACUCUGUAGCACAUCAGAGGUGUCUGUCACUGAUUUUUGGAGUUGAGCAUAUAAUAGCACAUUGACAGGAUUUACUCAUGCUUGCCCUUUAUGUGGAGUGAGCAUGGUGCUGGAGUAUAUCUUUCAGGAGUGGUCAGUUUGAACUUCCUAUUCUAGCAUUUCUGUUGGGCCUAUGGAAAUUUUGUCUACCUGAUGAAGCCGUCAGUAUCAGAACUGAUUUACAUAUAUAUGUGUUUGGAAGUUCUCUUUAUUAGGCAGCAUCAGGCCUUGGCUGAGGCUAUAGCAAGUCUGGGACAAACAAAGUUGUGUAGGGCUCAUUACUACUUGUUAAAUGAUGCAUAGAAGUUGGGUUUUUCUGUACAGAGGAAGCUACAGGCCAUGUCGGUUGCUUUUGGUGGUUCAGGGUUUUUUGUGGAUGUCAUGUGUUGAGUCUUACUUCUGACUUAUUUUUCACUUUACUUUUCCUUCCCAGAUUUUGAUGUCACAUUCUUGUAGUCCCUCCCCAUAUAAACGCCGAGGCAAGGUUUUAAUUCUGAAUGAGCCGUCUGUUUUUUGAUUUCUUCUGUGACAAAUGACUAGGGAUUCUAACAGUUGAACUUCCUCCAUUGCAAACCAUCUUAAUCAGCUGCAGACCAGGUUUGUCCUCUAGAAUGAAUGAGGAAGAGGUAGUAAAGUAAUUAAGACUGGAUUUGGGUCUCAUUACUAAUUGAUUUUUAACUUAAUUAUACUAAGGCUGAAGUAUUAACUCAUUGUAAACAUUGGAGAUUGCUUCUUAGAGAUAUGUGUUUGUGAGUGAGCUAACUAGGAAAAGAACUCUCAGAGCUUAUACCUAAUCUCAUGUUACAUUUGCAAGUUUUUAAACUGACACCGGAGGAGUUGAGAAUAGCGAAGUCACUCUAAGCGUUUCAACAAAUAAAUAAACUUCAUGUAUAAUUAAAUGUUAUGAAGGCAGUGAGCAACCUGUCUUUGCUUGGAUGAAUGCUGUGUAGAGAAUCCUUUCCAGUGCAGAGGAAAGGAUCAGGAAGUAGGCAAGGGAGACAGCGGCAAUGUAUUUGCAUAAUAUUGUUUGCAUGGGUUAUGCUAUCUUAAGAAGUUACUUCAUUUAUCACAAACUUGGGUAUCUUCUGAAACCCAAACCUGAUCAGGAUUGUAUUUCUCAAAAACCACAGAUUGUAUUUCUCAAAAAUAAUUGUGUAUCAAUACAGGUAUGGAGCACACUUUGUUUUCUCUUGGUUAUGGCUGCAUUUGACAAAAUUGUUCAUUUCAAAUAGGUCCUUUUUUUUGUGUUAACUUUCUAUAAAUUCUGUCUUAUAUCUGCUACUGAGAUUUCCUCAGUGUGUCUUGCGAAAAAAGAGGUCAAAAUCCAAUGUAGAUUGUUUAGCCACACUGUUUUGUAAUUCUUUGCUGUGCAAGUAUGAUAUUUUUAGAACUUUUUGCAUAGCAAUUACUGUUUUGUUUUUUGAUUCCUAACCAUUACCACUGACGUUGUCUUUGCCCAUAACUUGGCUCAGUUAGUUAUGCUGAAUGAAUUGACAGGCACUCCAAUUCUAAACAUGCAGCUGCUUUUGUAAGCUAACCUAAUGAUGGCUUAAAACUGGAGAUGCUGAAGGGGCACUCCCAAAUCCUGGAUUUACUUUACUGCUGCCCUCUUGUGCUGGUAAUCAUUUUCAUCUCAUCAUGCAGGGAGGCACUCCUGGGAGCUAAAGAGAAAACUGGUGAUUUGUUUAUGAAGGGGUUGUUCUGAUGGUAGUUAUCCUGUGGCAGGAAUAGCUUCCCACAAAGACCUUUGCAGGGGGAGUUACUAUGCAGAACAUAAUAAAGGUGCCAAACUGUAAACACUAGGAUUUGAAUAAUUGAUACUGAAGAGACAAUGAUGGAAGAGAAGCAGAUUAUUCUCUUGAUUAUGGCUCUGUCUACUCUUUUGGAAACAGCAAUAUCAUUAUACAUGAGUGCCAAUAAUUCUGUUCCAAGGUUUUGUUCUUGAUAAAAUAGUCUUGAAACUAGUAGAUGGUAGUUUUGCUGUUUGGCAGACCUACAGGUCAUUACACAGGCAAGCUCUGUGCUUGUGUUGCAGCAUGAUGUAAUUUGUGUGUGGUUUUUUGUUUUGUAUUAUUGAAGCAUAGCUUACAUAUGUUUUCAUGUAUAGCCUAAUCAUGAAGUUUGUUUUUGCAUCUUUGCAGUGUCCAGAGGAGUGAGGUCAUUCCCCACCUUCCACCAUGCAACAGUUAUGAGCACAUAUUGUAGAGAGCAUCUUAAAAUUGCAAAAUCCUAAAGGUACAUGAUGUUAAAGGAUUCAGAAUAGUGGAUAAGUAAAGCAGGCAGUAUUUGCUGUCAAUUGUAUAUCUCAGCAAAUUACUUGGUGUAUCUCUCUGUCAGCAAGUGACAGGAUACAUACCUCUUCUUGCAGUAGGUGACUCCAAGCAGUAGCUCCAACAAAUGCUUAAAUGGAAAUGGGAUAAGGGCCUUUGCAUAACAGCUUUACUACUUGAAGACCACUCUGUCAAAUGAUCUUCUAGCUUAUCUAUAGAUAACAUUCCAUAGGACUGCUCAGCAGAUGCAGCUUACAAAGGUAUUUCUUUGCAAGCACCCUGAUCAAGUUUGACUUCUGGUGGAGCUCCGAUGAUAAAACGUCUCUGGACCUUCAUCAGUACCAUAAAAGGCACUGACACAGCUCCCAGUCUGUUUUUAAACUUGUGUUUUGGUGAAGACUGUUAAUUUGGAUCGUUUGUUCUGAAGGGUCAGACUAAAGGGUCUUAACAAUUCAUAAACAAAGAACCACUUUGGCUGUGAGAAUGAGAAAGAUGAUAUGUGUAGGAAGUAAGAGUUACUGAGGCUGUAAGAAACAAAACAUCCUUGAUUCCAUAACAGUUUGUGAACAUACAUUGUCAUCAUACAGCUAAAACAUCCAGAUCAGAGGAGUGAGAAGGAAAGUCCAGACAAAUCUUCCUAACUACAGAUCAAGGAAUAUAUUCAGUAAACAAGUAGGAGUAAAAUGGAUACUUCUUUCAUAUAUUUGAAGCUAAAAAUUUGAUCUUCCUUCUGGUCAUCCAGGACUCAGUCUAGUAUGAUGUACCAGUCUUUCUUACAAGAUAUCAGUAAUAACUAGAAGAUGGAUCAAUGAUCAUGUGUAUUUUCCUGUAAAUACAAAAAUUUGCAGAUCACCCAGAAGAUGCAGAGUGAUCCUGCACCACCACCCAACAGACUGAAAAUAAACAGCUGAAAUUCUGUGAGCACACUGCUAUAAUAUGUCUAUUGAUAAGAUUACAACAUCUUUUCCACAGUGAAUGCCGUUCUGGCUUCCAUGAGGUUUGGGAACAACCUUUCUUUUGUGAACUUGCAAAGUCAUGCCUGAAAGUAUUCUACCAGUGCCACAUACCAUCACUGAUGAAGUAAGUGAGAUCUAAAAGCAUUCCCAUGUAGGAUGAGAGGACCAUGGUCAUGUUGUGUCAUAGAUGAGUGUGAAGGUGUAAAUUGUAUAAUGGAUAAGCCAAACUUGAAAACUUACUGGUGAUACAUUACCUUAGGGCAUCAUACGGAAAUAUCACAUUCAAGGUUAGGCAGAUUUGUCAUCAUGAUAGGAAGAAGACCCACACGGGUAUGUUAUGGCAGUCCAAAACCUUUCUCGAAAUGCAGAUUGUUGCAGGUUCUAAGGAGCGAGCAUGAGUUCUGAUUCUUUCUGGUCUUUUCAGCAGAUAGCUGUCUGGGCCAGGAGAGGGAUACAAAGUUGCAUCCAAAGUAGGUCAUUACCUCUGCAAGUAUUUAUUGCUGCAGUGACUCUUGUGUUGACUUGUAUUAAUCUGUGAAACAAAGGUGAUACACUUUAGAAACAUAGAAAUGUGUCUCAUGAAGUUUGAUUCUACAAGAAAACAGAGGAGGAUGCUGGGGCAGAUAAAUAGCAAUUGUGUUUCUUUAUGUGGUUUUUCUUGCAGUGAUUCUGUUGAGAAUUUGACAACUAGUGGAGGUGAAAGCUGGUAGGCAGAAGAUAGACCUUCUGUGAAGUUUUCCAUGCAGAGUGAGUCAGCAUUGGCAACUUGUUUAACAGUUUGAUCCUGCCAGGUAGGGGUGUGAGGAUUCUGAAGAACUGGGACUAAAGCCCCUUGCACAUGUUGAACUGGUGUGAAAAACAGUGGUGAGUGGUCUGUUGCCAUCAAGCUAGAGAUCAGAGGGCUUAUUUUUAGCUUGAAAUUGAACCAUAUGCUAGUAGUAUUGUAUUCUUUUGAGUAACCACAUCUCACUUGUGAGGUGGAAAAGAUGAAGGUAGCAGAUCUUUUAGGUUGUAGGCACAUGUGCUGGGGACUGGACAGAUGUCCCAGACAAUACUACAUACUGCUCUGUUUUGAAAUACAUAGGCUAAUAUACUAAUAGUUAAAAUGAAGAGAUUGAGCAUCCUGCUUUGGUAGCCUGUCAUAAGGUCAAUGAAAUUAUUUUGAAGUCUAAGAUUCCUAAUAGAGAGCUUUUUGUUGAGUGUGCCCUAAUCUUUGUGCUGUUACUCUGAAAUACCAUAUGAAGGAAAAACAUGAGGUCUGUGUCCUAGCCUGGACACUCCAGAACAAAAACUCAACAUACCACCUUCUUAAUGAGAGUAAUUGGAAGAAUCUAGAAGAAUGAGUUUAAAUUACAGAAAAGUGGUCAAAUGGUGGAAAUACCAAUGAGGAAUACCCUGUUAUCAUAGGGAUGCCUAAGGAUGAUGGAAUGCUUAGUCCACCUGUCAGAAAAAAGAAACUGGAAAAAAGCCAGACUUGCUGUGUGUCAGACACAUUAGAAUGUGGACACCAUCAAAGUUUCUGUGGCAAACUUGUCUCCACUUAAAAAAGUAUUUGUACAGCUGCAAAGCAAAUACACGUGAAUUAUUGCUUAAAAGAUAAACUGGCAUAUUUUCAUAUCAUAAUCUUAAUAGGUUUUUGACAACAUUAUUUCUAUUCAUUUUUAUACUCUGCACACUAAUGUACAUGAUAAGGUAUGGUAUGAUAUCCCUCUUUAAUAUGUUUCUAUCACAGGUUGAAUUCCAGUGCAACAACACUAACUUAUAUCAGCAUGUUGUAAGACUUCUGAGACUGCUGACAGGAUCACUAAAACAAUUUAACUGGAGAGUAGUUCCUCACAGCCAAGUACACAAAUGACCAGAUGGCCUCCAUAGUUUGUACAAACUUUCUUGUAUUGGAAGCUGAAGGUACUUUAUGUGUCUGUGCCUAAGGAUUUAUAUCUACACUGAGCAAACUGCACAAGUGUUAGCUGCUUUAAUAGCUUGUGUUUUGUUCAGAGAUCAGUGUGCUAAAUGGUCCCUGAGGAGGAUAAAAAGAAUUUGGAAAGUACUUUUCAUAUUCGACAAGAUUUCCAGCCUAGUUGCUUAAACUCUCUGGACUUCAAUUAACUUUCUACAAGUAAUAACAUAUGUAUCUAUUUCUGAUUCCCUAGUCAUAUAUUAAUUGUAGGACCUACUGGUUUUUGAGGCAAGGAAACCUCUUACUACUAGAGAAAACAAAAAUGAAUCGGUAAGUUGUUUUUCAGCAAUUUAGCUGAGUGGAUGCUAAAUACUGAUGGGUAAAAAGAAUCACACCUACUCUCAAUCACUUGUUUUUUACUAUAUGCUUGCUUUGGAUGAUCAACACAGGCAAGUGUUUGUGUUAGGCAGGGCCAGCUAAACCUUGUUUUCUAAGGAUGUGGGUGCAGCUGCCUUGCAGAAAUGUAUUGCAGUAAAACCCUCCAGUUCUCAGAUAUGGCUGUAAUGGCUGUCUAAAAAUAAUACCUAACAAAGGGUGUCCUUUGCAGGGGAAGCCAGAAAUAACCUUCUUUUUCUCUGUCAAAAUGUAAGGCUAAUAUCAGUACAUCUACAAGCAGCAGUUUGACCCAGAGACCACGAAGGAGCUUACUUUCAGCAUAAGGAAUCUUGAGCUUGGACUUCACCCCCAAAGAGAUAAUAAAUACCACUCGCUUCAA
Molecule: non-coding RNA, 8642 nt
Organism: Lonchura striata (white-rumped munia)
Lineage: Eukaryota; Metazoa; Chordata; Aves; Passeriformes; Estrildidae
Source: RefSeq, a predicted model, not a curated record